RNAcentral lists this transfer RNA (89 nucleotides) under Novosphingobium pentaromativorans US6-1. RNAcentral describes it as "tRNA-Und (NNN) (tRNA-Und-NNN-1-1)". Lineage: Bacteria; Pseudomonadati; Pseudomonadota; Alphaproteobacteria; Sphingomonadales; Sphingomonadaceae. The record is from RNAcentral.
GAACUGGCUGACGAGAUUUGGCCGUUUUCCAUGUCUUAACACCCUUCACACGGGUGGGGUCACAGGUUCAAUCCCUGUCGCGCCCACCA